UAAAUAGGUGACAUAACAUGUACAGGAAGUCUGCAUAAGAGUGUUGCAUGCAGAAGAAAACAGGUGAUUUUGAACAUUCUUCUCUAUUUUGACGUGUGUUUUCGACUUCUUCAUGGCAGAUGAAUUCUAAAAUGGGAAUGGCAUUUCUACCUGCACUUAAGGAAAUGGAAUACCUUUUGGAGUUUCAAAUGUGUAUACAUCUUGCCUUGGAUUAUAUUUGUGUUCUUUUCAUGGAGAAUGUGUUUUGUUACGGAUAACGGUCAAAGAAGGAUAACUCUAAACUAGAAACAUGACUUCAUCACUCACUGAGGCACCACGGGAACUUCCAGGAGGUGACGUAGGACCAGACCCACACAGCGUCCAGGGCAGUAGAAAUCACUCAAGAAUACAUGGAUGGAAUCUAUAAACAUUUAUUUCUUUGUUCUGAAAUAAAAUAUUGAAGCUAACGUUGAAGAGUGAAUGAUUGUCGGAUAGUUAAUAACAAUUAACAAUGCAAAGACUCAUUUACAACGUCAUCCAUCGUUCUUCUUUUACAACGAAAUGCGUUACUGCUCUUGCAACUCUCAACAGCGUAACAGUGUGUAAAUAUAACCUAUUGAAGCGGUGCAACUGGCGUAUUGUCUGACCUACUUGGCAAGGAAUUAUUUCAACAGAUGAAGUAACACUCCUUUCCUGCCUAAUUGGAUACUUUGGAAAACAGCACACAACAACAAUGUAACAGUGUGCAUUAAAAACGUGUUGUGGUAGUAAAAAAAUUGUCGAUAUUGCUUCGGCAGGAUUUUGAAUUUCAAAGAUACGGACAUACGGUUAAAUCAAGACAUUUCCGACAUCAACAAUACCGUUGUUAACGAUAUUAAUGAAAAAAAUGGAUAUUGUUGUUUAAAAAUGGUUUCUGUAGAUGGAAAAUUAAGUACUUUACUAGUAAACCUCAUUUAGUUUUUUGAACCUCAUCUAAUAUAUUCAUGUGCAUGCUUACUUAACUUCAACUCACUAUCUCAAAAUUAUAAUUCACAGAUAUUGUAUGUUCAAUAAAUAUGAUAAAGAAUAUAUUCACCAAGAGCUCACAAAUACCAGGAGAAAAUCGGUACUUCUGUACGCUAACUUGACCAGACAAUUUCAUGCCGUGUUGGACUCGCACCUGUGGAACGAGGCGAUGAUUUAAUCAAGGAUCCGAGUGUUAUUGGCUAGACUAAGACAUGCGUAAUUACGAUGUCCAGGUGGAGUCAUAAACACCCCGUAAAACUGACCACAGUCGUCGUUAGAGGAAACCGAUCACCUGGUCCGACGGGUCGUAAUAAAUUGGUCUCCCUCGGGAGGGAAUGGUUGCCAAAAUAGUGUAAUAUAAAACACAUGGAAACCGAAACAACUAGAACAACUAGGAUAUUUUAUUCGAUGUUUGAAUUUGUUUCCUUUACAAACCAAUAUUUAAGAUUGAUUGAUGUCAAGUAUAAUAUAUAAGAGAGUAUAGACUGUAUUAAGUUACCUGUAGAAAGUUUGACAUACUUAUGACUUAUGACCUAACGCAGAUUUUUUUUAUUAUUGUAUUAUGAAGAUGCAUAUGUUUUAAUUUGGUCAAACGAAAUGGUAAAAAUUUGAUGGAAUGAUGUGAGAUUUUAUCAGUAAUUGAAUUGUGUUUUUCCUUAAUCAUUAAUUGAUAAAAUCAUCUUGAAAUAUCAAUUGUAAUAACUUGUCAUAACAUUUUGGUGAUAGUCGUAUUUCUUCAAUAAAAUGGUGUCAAUCUUUUUGGAUUA
Ylistrum balloti is the source of this 1751-nucleotide long non-coding RNA. RefSeq lists it as uncharacterized. The transcript is spliced from 3 exons. The record is from RefSeq and is a predicted model, not a curated record. Lineage: Eukaryota; Metazoa; Mollusca; Bivalvia; Pectinida; Pectinidae.